RNAcentral lists this transfer RNA (115 nucleotides) under Daphnia magna. It matches the Rfam family "tRNA". From Rfam's summary of the family: Transfer RNA (tRNA) molecules are approximately 80 nucleotides in length. Their secondary structure includes four short double-helical elements and three loops (D, anti-codon, and T loops). Further hydrogen bonds mediate the characteristic L-shaped molecular structure. tRNAs have two regions of fundamental functional importance: the anti-codon, which is responsible for specific mRNA codon recognition, and the 3' end, to which the tRNAs corresponding amino acid is attached (by aminoacyl-tRNA synthetases). tRNAs cope with the degeneracy of the genetic code in two manners: having more than one tRNA (with a specific anti-codon) for a particular amino acid; and 'wobble' base-pairing, i.e. permitting non-standard base-pairing at the 3rd anti-codon position. The record is from Rfam by way of RNAcentral. Lineage: Eukaryota; Metazoa; Arthropoda; Branchiopoda; Diplostraca; Daphniidae.
GCUCCAGUGGCGCAGUUGGUUAGCGCAUGGUACUUAUAAGACAGUAUUCAUGAUUCAAUUCCAGCAGAUCUGUUGAGAAAUGCCGAGGUCGCGAGUUCGAGCCUCGCCUGGAGCA